RNAcentral lists this long non-coding RNA (2773 nucleotides) under Sus scrofa (pig). RNAcentral's name for it is "lncRNA (ENSSSCG00065049947.1)". The record is from RNAcentral. Lineage: Eukaryota; Metazoa; Chordata; Mammalia; Artiodactyla; Suidae.
UUAAGAGGUAAAACUAUUGCAACCCAUCAAUGUUCCCCCAAAAUUAAAUCUGCAUUUCAUACAAAUAAUUUAAUUUUCUUCAAAAGUAUAGCCCUCUCAGCCUAGUUAGGAACGUUCAUUAUUGUGACUGUUCUUGUAUAAAUUCAUUUGGGGUUCUCUUUUCAUUGCAGGAUCCCUGCACAAUUUUCAAAAUAUCAUGAAGGCAUAAACAUGAUUACAGCUUUCUCAUUUUACAGGUGAAUAACUAAACUAUGAUGCAGAAAAUUUAAAUAAAUUACCCAGUGCCCACCCAUGAGGGACAGAGCUGGAGUAGAGCAUCCUUAUUCUGAUGACCAAAAUACCAUUUCUCUGCUGCAUCCCCCACCAUCAUUACUCACUCCCAGAUUCCCAAAGGACUGAUUUGCUUUUGGUAAGCUCAGACAUGUCAUUUCCUCUCUCUAAGGUGCUGCUUCAAUCUUUUGAAGGGAGAGGACAUCUCUAGUUAAAAUUCAGUCCAAAUGACACAAUCUCAGGUGAGAAGAUCACUUACACCCACCCAACAUGUGCACUACUUUACUUUCUAGUCCAUAGUUUGGCACUUUGUGAAUAAAAUUGAUCUUUUACAGCCACUUAGUAGCAUUUUCAAAGUCCUAGGGCAGUACUGUGCUAAAUGGCAUCCAGCUCAUCUGGAUGUGUGGAGUUUCCAGAUCAUAAAUUCCUAAAGGGCAGAGUCUACAAUUAUUUGGCUAGCUUUAUAUCACUUGCAACUGUGGAUGCUUAAUAAAUACUCUUUCAUGGUAAUGAAGAUGAUGACAAGUUAAUGCUCUUCACAGUGCCAACCAACCAGUCAAUUCAGUGAAAGUCAAACUGGUCAUUUGAUGCCCUGAAAAGAUCUAGUUACUUGAUGGGAUGCAUUAUUCAAAUUGUUGUUGGUUGCUUUUAUGCUUAUAUAGACGUAGUGUUAACAUUGCUUCCAUAUUGAGAAGAGUUAAGAGAAUGGGGCCAUGUAUGCAGUAGUAGUCACUUUUAUCUCAUCAGAUUAAUAAAUUAUAAGCAUAUAGUGGCAUGGAAUCUCAGGAUCACACUGGUCAUAAUGGCCAUCAUUAAAAAGUCUACAAAUAACACAUGUUGCUAGGGAUGUAGAGAAAAGGGACUCCUCCUACAGCGUGUGUGUGAAUGUAAGUUGGUACAACCACUAUCGAAAACUGUAUAGAGGUCCUUCAGCAAACUAAAGAUAGAACUACCAUAUGUCCCAGUAAUCCCACUCCUGAGCAGAUAUCCAGACAAAACUGUAAUUCAAAAGGAUACAUGCACCCCUAUGUUGUUCAUAGCAGCACUAUUCACAGCAGCCAAGACAUGGAAACAACCUGAAAUGUCUAUCGACAGAUGAAUGGAUUAAGAAAAUGAGGUCCAUAUAUACAAAUGUGAUACUUCUCAGCCACAAAGAACAAAAUAAUGCCAUUUUCAGCAACAUGGAUGGAACUAGAGAUUCUCAUACCAAGUGAAGUCAGGCAGAAAGAGAAAGACAAAUGCCAUAUGAUAUCACUUAUGUGUGGAAUCUAAGUGAAUCUAUCUACAAAACAGAAACACAUUCAUGGACAAAGAGAAGAGACUUGUGGUUGCCGAGGGGGAGGGAUGGAAUGAGAGGUUGGGUUUAGCAUAUGUAAGCUAUUAUACACAGAGGGAAUAAACAACGACAGGUUCCUGCUAUUUAACACACAGAACUAUAUUCAAUGUCCUAUGAUAAACCAUAAUGGACAAGAAUAUUUAAAAUAACUGAAUCAGUUUAUUUUUGCUUUUUAGGGCCUCACCCAUGGCAUAUGGAGGUUCCCAGGCUAGGGGUCAAAUUGGAGCUAUAGCUGCUGGCCUACGCCACAGACACAGCAACACGGGAUCCGAGCCAUGUCUGCAACCUACACCACAGCUCACAGCAACGCCAGAUCCUUCACCCACUGAGUGAGGCCAAGGAUUGAACCUGCAACCUCACAGUUCCUAGUUGGAUUCAUUUCCACUGCGCCACAACAGGAACUACCUGAAUCACUUUAAUGUACAGUAGAAAUUAACACAAUAUUGUAGAUCAACUACAAUUCAAUAAAAGUAAAAAUUUAAAAAUACAAUCGAGUACCUCAAGAAGGAAGCUUCCAUGUACCAUUUUUUGGAUGUAACCUUCACUUCCAUAUCUGUAUUUGGAAAAUAAAGUGGAAAAAUAAGCCCACUGAAGACAAUGAACAGCAGAUAUUAUCAGAAAUGCAAUACUGAGGAUCAUCAGAAUUAUCUUGAUAAUUGCUUUAGUGUACCUCUUUACUCAUAUAUUAAUAUAUUAUAAAACUUGAAAAAAAGGAAUAAAGUUGGAGGACUUUCUGCCUGACUUCUUGACUUACUGCGGAUCUGAAAUAUUCUUACCACAAGAAGCAGCACCAAUUACUGGGAACCUCCAUCUGCUGUGGGUAUGGCCCUGAAAAAGCAAAAAAAAAAUGGCAAUUAUGUGAUGUGAUAGACGUAUUAACUAAGGUUAUGGUUAGAAAUCACUUUGCACUGUAUAAGUAUCAAAUCAGCAUAUUGUACACCUUAAGCUUAUACAGUGUUAUUCUGACAAAUCUCAAAAAAACUGAAAAAAGCUAUAAUAAUUAGGAAAAUAAUUUGCCUAUGGAUGUACAAAAACACAUAGAUCAAUGGGACAGAAGAGAUUCUAUAUAGAGAUUUAGUCAUACAUAGUCAAUUGAGUUUUGAUAAAUUUGCGAAGAUAAUAUCUGGUGGAAAGAUCUUUUGAUGGUGCUGGAAAUAUCAGACAUAU